Non-coding RNA from Camellia sinensis, 1096 nucleotides. NCBI's taxonomy places the organism in Eukaryota, Viridiplantae, Streptophyta, Magnoliopsida, Ericales, Theaceae. The record is from RefSeq and is a predicted model, not a curated record.
CUUUUGAGCCCACUAUUGGGAACCACUCGGCCCAAUUUAUAUUUUCCUUCAUUUCCCCCAAAUAUGAUCGUGUAAAACUUGCCCUAAACUCUCAUUUCCCCCAAAUAUAAUUUCGCUUGAUCGUGUCUGAGGAAGAGAAUCUGAUUUGCCUCUGUCAAUUUCGCUCUAUAGAUCACCAUGGUCGUCUGAAGAAGAUAUCUCCAACGGUAGUCUGAUUUUGGAAAUAAGCUUUGGUUUGAAUCAAUUUGCUACAGGUGUCCUUUUUAAAGAACCAUGUUAAUAUUGCUAGUGGGACACCAAGCAGGUUUCUUCAUUUGGUAUUUCUGAUCAAACUGAUGUUAAGGGUUAUUCCUUAUUAACACUUCCUCGAAGAUGAGUUAUGGGACUUGUAUAAGAACCACUUGCACCCACGACUAGUUCAAGGUGAUCUUCGUAUCUGUCUCUAUGGUCUGAUACCAAUUAGCUCCAAGGUAAACAAGGAAGUUACUAGUGACUGAACAACAUCAUAUUGAGGUGUAGCUCAAUAGUUGACUUUGUUGUGCAUGUUGGCAUCUAGAUUUUUGUCUGUCUAUGUGUGGUUUUGGAUAAUCCCCUGAAAAAUCUCUCUUUUAGAUGUGGACUCAUUAACCUUUUUGCUUUUUAUCUCAACUAAUCUAUGGAAAGGACAAUCAAUGGAGAUUGGGAAAGAGAAUCCAGAUAUAUUUUUUACAGAUGGUGAAGGAAGGAGAAGUACUGAAUGCCUAUCUUGGGGCAUUGAUAAAGAACGAGUACUAAAAGGAAAAAGUGCUAUAGAGGGGUCAUCAAUUGGACUAAUUAAGUCAAUGCAGCCGGCUAUCAGCAAUCCGGCAUCUGCUGAUUCCGUGAUAAGCUCUAAAACUGAUCCAAAUCUUUGCUUUGCAACGCAUACCCAUUCCAGCAUCUCAUUUUCUGGUCUUAGCAUGGAGAGUAGUGCUGCAGAUCAUCAAGACUGGUGCUUCUCCAAUGGUUCUCAUGGGAGAGCUGCCUCCAUUGUGUCCUGAAAGUUCAUUCCCUUCAACUAGUAGGAGCAGCGCUGUUAUGCGUUACAUGGAAAAGAAGAAGACACGCAAGUAAGAGU